This 56-nucleotide transfer RNA is filed under the name Pseudomonas putida. Its description in RNAcentral is "tRNA-Ser". The record is from RNAcentral. Lineage: Bacteria; Pseudomonadati; Pseudomonadota; Gammaproteobacteria; Pseudomonadales; Pseudomonadaceae.
GCAGCGGUAGUUCAGUCGGUUAGAAUACCGGGGUUCGAGUCCCGUCCGCUGCGCCA